UACGUAGGGUGCGAGCGUUAAUCGGAAUGACUGGGCGUAAAGGGUGCGCAGGCGGUUGGUCAAGACGGAUGUGAAAGCCCCGGGCUUAACCUGGGAGUGUCAUUCGUGACUGACGAACUAGAAUAUGGCAGAGGGAGGCGGAAUUCCACAUGUAGCAGUGAAGUGCGUAGAGAUGUGGAGGAACACCGAUGGCGAAGGCAGCCUUCUGGGCUAAUAUUGACGCUCAGGCACGAAAGCGUGGGGAGCAAACAGG
This 253-nucleotide ribosomal RNA is filed under the name uncultured bacterium. RNAcentral's name for it is "partial 16S ribosomal RNA". It matches the Rfam family "Bacterial small subunit ribosomal RNA", at positions 524 to 776 of the family's 1533-position model. The record is from RNAcentral.